GAUGAACGCUGGCGGCGUGCUUAACACAUGCAAGUCGAGCGGAAGGGCGCUGCUUUUGCGUGGUGGUCGAGUGGGGAACGGGUGUGUAACCCGUGAGUAUCCUGCCCUUGAAUUUGGGAUAUCUUUAGGGGAAUGGGGAUACUACCGGAUAUGAGAUCCUGAUGCAUGGUGGGCGUUGGACAGAUUCGGCGGUUGGGGAUGGAGUAGCGGCUUAGCAGCUUGUUGGGGGGGUAGUGACUUACCCAGCCUGUGACGGUUAGCCUGCCUGAGAGAGUGGACAGCCACAUGAGUCCUGUGAUACGGGCCAGACUGCUACGUGAGGCAGCAGGGGAGAAAAUUGCACAAAGGCCGGAAGCCUGAUGCAGCAACGCCGCGGGCGUGAAAACCGCUUUCUGGUGGUAAACCGCUUUGUCAGUUAAUGAAGCGUUAUUGACGGUAAUGGAUAAGAAAGCACCGGCUAACUACGUG
Molecule: ribosomal RNA, 468 nt
Filed under: uncultured bacterium
Lineage: Bacteria
Description: partial 16S ribosomal RNA
Rfam family: Bacterial small subunit ribosomal RNA
Source: RNAcentral